UACGUAGGGCGCAAGCGUUGUCCGGAAUUAUUGGGCGUAAAGAGCUCGUAGGCGGCUUGUCACGUCGGGUGUGAAAGACCGGGGCUUAACCCCGGUUCUGCAUUCGAUACGGGCUGGCUAGAGUGUGGUAGGGGAGAUCGGAAUUCCUGGUGUAGCGGUGAAAUGCGCAGAUAUCAGGAGGAACACCGGUGGCGAAGGCGGAUCUCUGGGCCAUUACUGACGCUGAGGCGCGAAAGCUAGGGGAGCAAACGGG
RNAcentral lists this ribosomal RNA (253 nucleotides) under uncultured bacterium. Its description in RNAcentral is "partial 16S ribosomal RNA". It matches the Rfam family "Bacterial small subunit ribosomal RNA", at positions 524 to 776 of the family's 1533-position model. The record is from RNAcentral.